RNAcentral lists this ribosomal RNA (749 nucleotides) under Bacillus sp. (in: firmicutes). RNAcentral describes it as "bacterial SSU rRNA". It matches the Rfam family "Bacterial small subunit ribosomal RNA", at positions 51 to 781 of the family's 1533-position model. Lineage: Bacteria; Bacillati; Bacillota; Bacilli; Caryophanales; Bacillaceae. The record is from RNAcentral.
ANACNUGCAGUCGAGCGAAUGGAUUAAGAGCUUGCUCUUAUGAAGUUAGCGGCGGACGGGUGAGUAACACGUGGGUAACCUGCCCAUAAGACUGGGAUAACUCCGGGAAACCGGGGCUAAUACCGGAUAACAUUUUGAACUGCAUGGUUCGAAAUUGAAAGGCGGCUUCGGCUGUCACUUAUGGAUGGACCCGCGUCGCAUUAGCUAGUUGGUGAGGUAACGGCUCACCAAGGCAACGAUGCGUAGCCGACCUGAGAGGGUGAUCGGCCACACUGGGACUGAGACACGGCCCAGACUCCUACGGGAGGCAGCAGUAGGGAAUCUUCCGCAAUGGACGAAAGUCUGACGGAGCAACGCCGCGUGAGUGAUGAAGGCUUUCGGGUCGUAAAACUCUGUUGUUAGGGAAGAACAAGUGCUAGUUGAAUAAGCUGGCACCUUGACGGUACCUAACCAGAAAGCCACGGCUAACUACGUGCCAGCAGCCGCGGUAAUACGUAGGUGGCAAGCGUUAUCCGGAAUUAUUGGGCGUAAAGCGCGCGCAGGUGGUUUCUUAAGUCUGAUGUGAAAGCCCACGGCUCAACCGUGGAGGGUCAUUGGAAACUGNNAGACUUGAGUGCAGAAGAGGAAAGUGGAAUUCCAUGUGUAGCGGUGAAAUGCGUAGAGAUAUGGAGGAACACCAGUGGCGAAGGNNACUUUCUGGUCUGUAACUGACACUGAGNNGCGAAAGCGUGGGGAGCAAACAGGAUUAG